CACGUAGGGGCCAAGCGUUGUCCGGAUUUAUUAGGCGUAAAGAGCGUGUAGGCGGUUAGGUAGGUCCGUUGUGAAAACUCGAGGCUCAACCUCGAGACGCCGAUGGAAACCAUCUGACUAGAGUCCGGAAGAGGAGAGUGGAAUUCCUGGUGUAGCGGUGAAAUGCGCAGAUAUCAGGAAGAACACCCGUGGCUAAGGCGGCUCUCUAGUACGGUACUGACGCUGAGACGCGAAAGCGUGGGGAGCGAACAGG
Molecule: ribosomal RNA, 253 nt
Filed under: uncultured bacterium
Lineage: Bacteria
Description: partial 16S ribosomal RNA
Rfam family: Bacterial small subunit ribosomal RNA
Source: RNAcentral